UACGAAGGGGGCUAGCGUUGCUCGGAAUCACUGGGCGUAAAGGGUGCGUAGGCGGGUAUUUAAGUCAGGGGUGAAAUCCUGGAGCUCAACUCCAGAACUGCCUUUGAUACUGAGUAUCUUGAGUACGGGAGAGGUGAGUGGAACUGCGAGUGUAGAGGUGAAAUUCGUAGAUAUUCGCAAGAACACCAGUGGCGAAGGCGGGUCUCUGGACAGUUCCUGACGCUGAGGCACGAAGGCCAGGGGAGCAAACGGG
RNAcentral lists this ribosomal RNA (253 nucleotides) under uncultured bacterium. RNAcentral describes it as "partial 16S ribosomal RNA". It matches the Rfam family "Bacterial small subunit ribosomal RNA", at positions 524 to 776 of the family's 1533-position model. The record is from RNAcentral.